This 559-nucleotide long non-coding RNA is filed under the name Mytilus galloprovincialis (Mediterranean mussel). Lineage: Eukaryota; Metazoa; Mollusca; Bivalvia; Mytilida; Mytilidae. The record is from RNAcentral.
AUCAUGUACAAAUAAUAUGAUGUAACAAUUGAGGAAAAAGCCUAAAUAUAAAAAAAGUUAAAAUAUCUUAAUACUUAUCAACCUUUAUUUACAUAAAUGCGUAUUUCCCCCUUUGUUUACCCUAAAAGAAACUUUAAUACGAGCCAUGGAUUGCGGAAUACCGUCCGCAUAUUCUCAAAAUGUUCACGUAAAUUGAUGACGUCAUGUGUUAAAACAGUUAUUGACCAAUCAAAUCGGUAUAUAUAAUUUAAUCUGCUAUCUCAGGAUGACCCUUUAACCCGAACUCCGUCGUACGGGUUAUUAAGGGUCGCCUGAGCUGUGCAUAUUAAAUGAUAUAUACCGACUUGCUUGGUCAAUAACUAUAGCAUAAUAUCAUUAUUAUUAGCGCAUUUAUAUAUGUUUUGUUUUUAUGAUGUAUAUAUAUAAACUGAUUAUUGUUUUUCGAAUUAGUUGCAUAUUUGUCAUCCAUUAUUAGAUAUCAGUUGUACAGUUUGACUGGUCAUAUGCGAUUCCCAUUGUCAUCCUGAUUGUCCGAUAUUAGAUAAAUAAUUGCAAAAGG